CCUCCAUUGGAUGAAAGUAGAAUUGUUUUUAUCUAGGUGAAGUGCUGGGGCAGCCAGGUUGUACUGCCCCUAGCUCAAACAUACUCGCUUUUGUACUAUCGAUGUCGCCUUGUAACUUAGCACAUGCACCUGCCGGUCAGAAAAAUAUUCGCUAAUAUCAAGAACUGAAUACACAAACACUGGUUGAACCAACAAUUGAGUCAGUGAUGAAGUAGAUUACAAAAAGAAAAAAGAGGAUAACAUGUAUAGCAUUUUUGGAGCAUGUGUUUAAUGGUACAAACCUGUUCUUUUUAGAUUUAUUCAUGUCCUCCCCAGCUAGCCGAUAAACAUCUAAUGAACAUUCAAGACGGUUGUGGAUGGCCCUGGGUACACGAGAUGUGUAAUACCUAAAAAACAACAAUACAAAGUAUAUUGUAAAUUCCAUCAGAAUUUAAUUCCACCCAAGAAAAAUACAGCUCGUCGAGCUCGUGGCUUCCAUACUCAUGCGCUCUUGGUGGGGGGCAUGGCCGAUGAAGCGAGGGAACAAAGGGAACUGUGUACUCUAGAAAAAAACAUGCAUGGUCAGUAUAGAAACAACAAAUUGGUGAAGAUGGCACAGAAUAAUUUGGUCUUGAAUGUUGAUGAUAUGCAUUAUGUGAGAUAGAACAAUACAGCAGAAAAAUAAAGGUGGAUCAAUGUCAAACCAGGUUAACUGAUGUAGUAGUAGCACACAACAAAAUAUAUGGCUGCACAAAUUGGCAAGAGUUGUAGACAAAACUUCAAAACCAAUGGGCCUAGUGCUGAUAGUCCAGGACUCCAGGGAAGUCAAUGGUGCUAGUUUCAGACAUCACAUAUUCAUCUAUGACCAUUUGAUUAAUUUCACCAUAAAGCCAGUAAUGCUGACCACUAAAUAAUUUAAACCAACUUUACUAAAAAGGGACACACAAAUAGCAU
Molecule: long non-coding RNA, 933 nt
Filed under: Triticum aestivum (bread wheat)
Lineage: Eukaryota; Viridiplantae; Streptophyta; Magnoliopsida; Poales; Poaceae
Description: long non-coding RNA (TAES_LNC026194)
Source: RNAcentral